UACAGAGGUCUCAAGCGUUGUUCGGAUUCAUUGGGCGUAAAGGGUGCGUAGGCGGCGCGGUAAGUCGGGUGUGAAAUCUCGGGGCUUAACUCCGAAACUGCAUUCGAUACUGCCGUGCUUGAGGACUGGAGAGGAGACUGGAAUUUACGGUGUAGCGGUGAAAUGCGUAGAUAUCGUAAGGAAGACCAGUGGCGAAGGCGGGUCUCCGGACAGUUCCUGACGCUGAGGCACGAAGGUCAGGGGAGCAAACGGG
Molecule: ribosomal RNA, 253 nt
Filed under: uncultured bacterium
Lineage: Bacteria
Description: partial 16S ribosomal RNA
Rfam family: Bacterial small subunit ribosomal RNA
Source: RNAcentral